UUCACACAUGUGUAAAAUAUACAAGUCAUGACUUCCUGUUUUUCCUCUUCCCUCACAAAAUCCCCCAUACACAAUGAUGCAGUGUCUGUUUUUCUGUUUUUCUUCUCCACGCUGCGCUGAAUAAUUUAAUCACUUAACAGAAACCGCGCUGUUCCCGUCUCGGCGGCGCAGGGUAAAUUAUAGCCGAGCAGGUGGAGAGCAGCCAUUACUGUACGGCCUUAUGAAGACAUGCGUCGUUGAGACCUCGUCAUUGUCGAAGCUCAGUGGAGUGAAGUAUUACAUGUCCUCUCAAGUGCAUGUAGUCUAAGACAUCGAGACAAGCCUCCUGCCUCCUCCAACCGCCGGCUGGAGUACAGUCCACACGGACUUCUAACGCCGGGAUCGAGCUGCACAGAUUCAGGGCGAUUUUCAAGUGACUUGUUCCAGUGUCACACCUAAUUAUGAACAGACUAUGUUCCUUUUUCCUGCCUCGUCUGACAUCUCCCACGACGCCGAGCAAGACGCGGCAUGAAUCAGUGCCACUGUGAUUGAUAAUCUGACACGGUGACCAUCGUGAAAGACAUAACUACUGUGUAGACUAACAUCAUCAUGUCAACACUGUUGUCACACUGCUUUAUGACUACAUUUAAAUGUGCGCUUUGGUCUAAAUAAAGAGACUGUAAUGACUUCAUUUUUCUGAAAA
Solea senegalensis (Senegalese sole) is the source of this 682-nucleotide long non-coding RNA. RefSeq lists it as uncharacterized. Lineage: Eukaryota; Metazoa; Chordata; Actinopteri; Pleuronectiformes; Soleidae. The transcript is spliced from 2 exons. The record is from RefSeq and is a predicted model, not a curated record.